CCUACGGGUGGCAGCAGUGGGGAAUAUUGGACAAUGGGGGGAACCCUGAUCCAGCCAUGCCGCGUGUGUGAAGAAGGCCCUCGGGUUGUAAAGCACUUUCAGUGGGGAAGAACGCCUGGUGGUUAAUACCCAUCAGGAAAGACAUCACUCACAGAAGAAGCACCGGCUAACUCCGUGCCAGCAGCCGCGGUAAUACGGAGGGUGCGAGCGUUAAUCGGAAUUACUGGGCGUAAAGCGCGCGUAGGUGGCGUGAUAAGCCGGUUGUGAAAGCCCCGGGCUCAACCUGGGAACGGCAUCCGGAACUGUCAAGCUAGAGUGCAGGAGAGGAAAGCGGAAUUCCCGGUGUAGCGGUGAAAUGCGUAGAGAUCGGGAGGAAUACCAGUGGCGAAGGCGGCCUUCUGGACUGACACUGACGCUGAGGUGCGAAAGCGUGGGGAGCAAACAGGAUUAGAUACCCUAGUAGUC
Molecule: ribosomal RNA, 465 nt
Filed under: Vreelandella stevensii
Lineage: Bacteria; Pseudomonadati; Pseudomonadota; Gammaproteobacteria; Oceanospirillales; Halomonadaceae
Description: partial 16S ribosomal RNA
Rfam family: Bacterial small subunit ribosomal RNA
Source: RNAcentral